GCCCCCGUGACCGAACGGCUUAGGUGCCUUCCUUGCAAGGGGGUCAAGCGGGUUCGACUCCCGCCGGGGGCUCUA
This 75-nucleotide transfer RNA is filed under the name Actinomycetes bacterium. Its description in RNAcentral is "Actinobacteria bacterium tRNA-Ala". It matches the Rfam family "tRNA". Rfam says of the family: Transfer RNA (tRNA) molecules are approximately 80 nucleotides in length. Their secondary structure includes four short double-helical elements and three loops (D, anti-codon, and T loops). Further hydrogen bonds mediate the characteristic L-shaped molecular structure. tRNAs have two regions of fundamental functional importance: the anti-codon, which is responsible for specific mRNA codon recognition, and the 3' end, to which the tRNAs corresponding amino acid is attached (by aminoacyl-tRNA synthetases). tRNAs cope with the degeneracy of the genetic code in two manners: having more than one tRNA (with a specific anti-codon) for a particular amino acid; and 'wobble' base-pairing, i.e. permitting non-standard base-pairing at the 3rd anti-codon position. Lineage: Bacteria; Bacillati; Actinomycetota; Actinomycetes. The record is from RNAcentral.